UGGCUCAGGAUGAACGCUAGCUACAGGCUUAACACAUGCAAGUCGGAGGGGCAGCAUGACGAUUGCUUGCAAUUGUUGAUGGCGACCGGCGCACGGGUGAGUAACGCGUAUCCAACCUUCCCUAUAGUAGAGAAUAGCCCGGCGAAAGUCGGAUUAAUGCUCUAUGUUCUUCUUUGAUGGCAUCUGAUGAGAAGCAAAGGUUCACCGCUAUAGGAUGGGGGAUGCGUCUGAUUAGCUUGUUGGCGGGGUAACGGCCCACCAAGGCAACGAUCAGUAGGGGUUCUGAGAGGAAGGUCCCCCACAUUGGUACUGAGACACGGACCAAACUCCUACGGGAGGCAGCAGUGAGGAAUAUUGGUCAAUGGGCGAGAGCCUGAACCAGCCAAGUAGCCGUGCAGGAUGACUGCCCUAUGGGUUGUAAACUGCUUUUAUAGGGGAAUAAAGUGAGGUACGUGUACCUUUUUGUAUGUACCCUAUGAAUAAGGACCGGCUAAUUCCGUGCCAGCCGCUGC
This 512-nucleotide ribosomal RNA is filed under the name uncultured bacterium. Its description in RNAcentral is "bacterial SSU rRNA". It matches the Rfam family "Bacterial small subunit ribosomal RNA", at positions 20 to 518 of the family's 1533-position model. The record is from RNAcentral.